AUGGCCGAACGCUUCCCAGGCGACGCGGCGGCGGCCAACGGCUUCGGCCGCCGCUCGCUCCACGAGUGGGAGGCGUACCUCUUCUUCGAGGCCAACAUCCUGGCGCCGCCGGACAUGCGCGCCGGGCCGACGGGGUGGAGGCUCAGCAACGGGGGCGUCCCCAUCCCCCUGGUGCCCGAUGUCAACGCGCGCCCCGCCAUCUUCGCCGCUGAGGUCGACCGCGUGCGGGCGUCCCUAACGGAGGAGCAGCGCGCCCUCCCCCAAUACGCCGCCGACAACCACACGUCGUGGGCGGCGUACUUCCAGCGCCGGCAGGCGCAGCGGCUGGCGUCCACCAAUGGGGCGCCGGUGGUGGGCGGCGUCAAGAACAGCGAGGAGCGCCGCGUAUGGUGGGGCGCCCCCGGCCGCACGCUCCACGAGGUGCUGGCAUACCUCGAGGGCGACAAUGACUCGGCGCUGGCAUAA
Molecule: ribosomal RNA, 465 nt
Filed under: Triticum aestivum (bread wheat)
Lineage: Eukaryota; Viridiplantae; Streptophyta; Magnoliopsida; Poales; Poaceae
Description: partial small subunit ribosomal RNA
Source: RNAcentral